Lagopus leucura (white-tailed ptarmigan) is the source of this 250-nucleotide long non-coding RNA. RefSeq lists it as uncharacterized. The transcript is spliced from 3 exons. NCBI's taxonomy places the organism in Eukaryota, Metazoa, Chordata, Aves, Galliformes, Phasianidae. The record is from RefSeq and is a predicted model, not a curated record.
GGCUCCUGUGUGCACACAGCAGAUCCCAGGCUGAGGCUGUUGGGUCUGCUCGCCAUCUCCAUGCGUUGAUAUCGAGCCAGCACUGGAUUUAGAGGCAGAAGCCACACAGCUGUCGUGGAAGGGCAAAGAGAGCACAGCAUCGCACACAGCAGCAACUGAGGUCCCAGGAAGGAAGAUGUCGGAGCCAUGUGAGCAGUCCUGCCUGCCACCUCCUUCCUGUGUGGGGACUGCUGUGCCCACUGACCUCUGC